This 497-nucleotide ribosomal RNA is filed under the name uncultured bacterium. RNAcentral describes it as "partial 16S ribosomal RNA". It matches the Rfam family "Bacterial small subunit ribosomal RNA", at positions 28 to 507 of the family's 1533-position model. The record is from RNAcentral.
GAUGAACGCUGGCGGCGUGCCUAAUACAUGCAAGUCGAGCGAACAGACGAGGAGCUUGCUCCUCUGACGUUAGCGGCGGACGGGUGAGUAACACGUGGAUAACCUACCUAUAAGACUGGGAUAACUUCGGGAAACCGGAGCUAAUACCGGAUAAUAUAUUGAACCGCAUGGUUCAAUAGUGAAAGACGGUUUUGCUGUCACUUAUAGAUGGAUCCGCGCCGCAUUAGCUAGUUGGUAAGGUAACGGCUUACCAAGGCAACGAUGCGUAGCCGACCUGAGAGGGUGAUCGGCCACACUGGAACUGAGACACGGUCCAGACUCCUACGGGAGGCAGCAGUAGGGAAUCUUCCGCAAUGGGCGAAAGCCUGACGGAGCAACGCCGCGUGAGUGAUGAAGGUCUUCGGAUCGUAAAGCUCUGUUAUUAGGGAAGAACGAAUGUGUAAGUAACUAUGCACGUCUUGACGGUACCUAAUCAGAAAGCCACGGCUAACUACGUG